UGGUCCCGUAGCUCAGCUGGAUAGAGCAACGGCCUUCUAAGCCGUGGGUCACAGGUUCGAAUCCUGUCGGGAUCGCCAU
This 79-nucleotide transfer RNA is filed under the name Bartonella quintana str. Toulouse. Its description in RNAcentral is "tRNA-Arg". It matches the Rfam family "tRNA". From Rfam's summary of the family: Transfer RNA (tRNA) molecules are approximately 80 nucleotides in length. Lineage: Bacteria; Pseudomonadati; Pseudomonadota; Alphaproteobacteria; Hyphomicrobiales; Bartonellaceae. The record is from RNAcentral.